AUGCACGCUGGCGGCGUGCCUCAUCCCUGCCAGUCGAGCGAACAGAUGAGGAGCUUGCUCCUCUGACGUUAGCGGCGGACGGGUGAGUAACACGUGGAUAACCUACCUAUAAGACUGGGAUAACUUCGGGAAACCGGAGCUAAUACCGGAUAAUAUAUUGAACCGCAUGGUUCAAUAGUGAAAGACGGUUUUGCUGUCACUUAUAGAUGGAUCCGCGCCGCAUUAGCUAGUUGGUAAGGUAACGGCUUACCAAGGCAACGAUGCGUAGCCGACCUGAGAGGGUGAUCGGCCACACUGGAACUGAGACACGGUCCAGACUCCUACGGGAGGCAGCAGUAGGGAAUCUUCCGCAAUGGGCGAAAGCCUGACGGAGCAACGCCGCGUGAGUGAUGAAGGUCUUCGGAUCGUAAAACUCUGUUAUUAGGGAAGAACAAAUGUGUAAGUAACUAUGCACGUCUUGACGGUACCUAAUCAGAAAGCCACGGCUAACUACGUG
This 496-nucleotide ribosomal RNA is filed under the name uncultured bacterium. RNAcentral's name for it is "partial 16S ribosomal RNA". It matches the Rfam family "Bacterial small subunit ribosomal RNA", at positions 29 to 507 of the family's 1533-position model. The record is from RNAcentral.